UCCGGCCUAUCACCGGCGGUCCCACUAGAGUGCCCAACUGAAUGUAGCAACUAAUGACAAGGGUUGCGCUCGUUGCGGGACUUAACCCAACAUCUCACGACACGAGCUGACGACAACCAUGCACCACCUGUGAACCAGCCCCAAAGGGGAAACCGUGUUUCCACGGCGGUCUGGCACAUGUCAAGCCUUGGUAAGGUUCUUCGCGUCGCAUCGAAUUAAGCCGCAUGCUCCGCCGCUUGUGCGGGCCCCCGUCAAUUCCUUUGAGUUUUAGCCUUGCGGCCGUACUCCCCAGGCGGGGUGCUUAAUGCGUUAGCUUCGGCACGGACGGGGUUGAUAUCCGCCCACACCUAGCACCCAACGUUUACGGCUAGGACUAC
This 377-nucleotide unclassified non-coding RNA is filed under the name uncultured Actinomycetes bacterium. RNAcentral describes it as "uncultured actinobacterium contains 16S-23S intergenic spacer region". The record is from RNAcentral. Lineage: Bacteria; Bacillati; Actinomycetota; Actinomycetes.